ACACUUACCUGGAAGGGGAGAUACCAUGACCAUGAAGGUGCUUUUUUCCAGGGUGAGUCUCACCCAUUGUGCUCUGGAUGUGCUGACCCCCGCGAUUUCCUCAAAUGUGGGGAACUCAACUGAAUAAUUUGUGGUAGUGGGGAACUGUGUUCAUGCUUUCCCCAA
Octodon degus (degu) is the source of this 165-nucleotide small nuclear RNA. Its record names the gene U1. It matches the Rfam family "U1 spliceosomal RNA". Rfam says of the family: U1 is a small nuclear RNA (snRNA) component of the spliceosome (involved in pre-mRNA splicing). Its 5' end forms complementary base pairs with the 5' splice junction, thus defining the 5' donor site of an intron. There are significant differences in sequence and secondary structure between metazoan and yeast U1 snRNAs, the latter being much longer (568 nucleotides as compared to 164 nucleotides in human). The record is from Ensembl. NCBI's taxonomy places the organism in Eukaryota, Metazoa, Chordata, Mammalia, Rodentia, Octodontidae.